Molecule: microRNA precursor, 97 nt
Filed under: Prunus dulcis (almond)
Lineage: Eukaryota; Viridiplantae; Streptophyta; Magnoliopsida; Rosales; Rosaceae
Description: sRNA ncRNA
Source: RNAcentral
AAUAGAAUAUUUUAAAAGUAUAGCCGACCGGCUAUACCCUUUAAAUAGAAUAUUUUAAAAGUAUAGCCGUUCGGCUAUACUCUGUAAAUAGAAUAUU